AAAAGUAGUGCAAAUAGAGAAACAAACUUCUACAUGUAAACAAUGAUCACUCUUAAAGAGUUGUUGCUUUAGAACAUGUAUAUACCAUUGUUCUUUGCUUCAGCAUCACACAUGACCAAAGACAACCAAUGCCAUGGGGUAACAGCACCAAGGCUUACACAGACCAUGUACAGCUACUGCACACACACAGAGACACAACCUUUACGUCGCCGGAUCAAAGAAGUGACCAGAGACAACACCAGUGCAGCAGUAGCAGUCAGCAGAGCAAGUCAUUGUUCCCUGUCUGACUUGGCACCAUCUCGCUUCGCUUGUACCCACAUGUGUCCACCAGUUCAACAAACAUCCUAGUACUGCAGUACUACAAAAUUUGAAAACGACAACUUUUUGCAAUAUGAAGUGUUUGACUGUCUUCACUAUUAUCAGCAUACAUGUUACUCAGAAUUUAGUUUACUAUAAAUGCUAGGCCAAACCAAAGUCCAAAAUCACCUACAGGCUACAGGAUACUUGAGCUCGUGACUGUUGAGAACCUCCUCACUGCAUGAAACGUUCCAAGUCAACAACAGGAAACAAAAUUUGCACCGCAGGCAACAGCUAGCUACUCCCUCCAUUCCUAAAUAUAAGUCUUUGUAGAGAUUCCAUUAUGGACCACAUACGGAUGUAUAUAGAUGCUUUUAGAGUGUAGAUUCACUCAUUUUGCUCCGUAUGUAGUCCAUAAUGAAAUCUCUACAAAGACUUAUAUGAGGAACAGAGGGAGUAGUUGAUAAAAAAAAAAGAACAGUAAUGCAUAAGAGCAAGUUACAGCCACGAGAAGAUUUUUGCUCUGUGUAACACUAGGCAAAUUGAAGAUCAGGUCCUGAAAUAAGUAAUCAACGGAUCCUGAUACAAGAUACGUAUUAGAGAGUUGUUGGCUGCAACAAGUAAAUGAACAAAUCCUGGAACAAGUAAUCGUACAACUGAAAAGCGUUAUCAAGAUUAAGCAUUUGGUUUGAAUGAUUCUUUGAACUCGGAGAUGACAAACAAAUACAGUUACAUGAAAGGCAUUGUUUAAACUCGGAGAUGACAAAUAAUGCAUACCUGAACCUCCUUAAGAAAAUCGGAAAGCAUGCGUCAAUCACCUCAUUUAAAAUUGUAAGAUCUUGCAUUGACAUAAAAGAGAAGAAACAUGGCUGAAGAUGCACAUACAAAUACUCUUUCUUAAAAUGCUAACUGUAAAUUGUUGAACUACUGCCAGUAAAAAAUUAUGCAAAAGGUUCAAGUAGUCCAGGCAUAUAUUCUGAAUUUAGACUUUCACCAUAGGCACUGGCUUCUCAAUAAGCAGGUGCCUCACUUUUCUGUACAUGUCCAGAGCAUCAGAUAUUGUAAUCCCACACAAAUAGUAUGUGCAACAGAAUUGAUGAUUCAGGCCAAAACAGUAUUAGAGAUGUCAGUUUGUCACACAAAUAGCUUACCUUAGAAACGGUGAAACACCAAAGUCGACACCUAUACAGAUAACACCGUUCAAUUCCUAUCAAAGAACGUCUGCUCAGAAGCUUGUAUCAUACAUUCCUAGUUAUUUGUUUUCUUCUCUUUCUUGUCAUGCUAACAAAAUAGAUAUGCCUGACAGUAAUUAGAGACAAUAUGUCAGUGCAUUCUUAAAGAUUAACAAUAGAGUACUCAAGAGUGUCCAGCGGUACCAUGCAGCCAUCUAUCCGAGUAGUUCAUACUGGUCGAAAGACAAAUGUUCACACUCGCUGCCGUUGGUGGCCUGACUGCAUGACCAUGAGAACAUCCGUGUCU
This 1776-nucleotide long non-coding RNA is filed under the name Triticum aestivum (bread wheat). RNAcentral describes it as "long non-coding RNA (TAES_LNC019780)". Lineage: Eukaryota; Viridiplantae; Streptophyta; Magnoliopsida; Poales; Poaceae. The record is from RNAcentral.